AAAAAGGCAAACCUUAGGUUUCCGUGUCAAUAUUUGACUGUCCGUCUUAUAUAAAAUUUUUUUGUAAUUAGUAUUUUCAUUGUUGUUAGAUGAUAAAACAAGAUUAAUACUUUACGCGUGACUUAUCUUUUUAAUUUUUUUCAAAUAAGACGAACGGUCAAACGUUGGACACGGAAACCAGGGUUUGUCUUUUU
This is a non-coding RNA of Oryza barthii, 194 nucleotides long. The record is from Rfam. NCBI's taxonomy places the organism in Eukaryota, Viridiplantae, Streptophyta, Magnoliopsida, Poales, Poaceae.